Molecule: ribosomal RNA, 550 nt
Filed under: uncultured Arthrobacter sp.
Lineage: Bacteria; Bacillati; Actinomycetota; Actinomycetes; Micrococcales; Micrococcaceae
Description: partial 16S ribosomal RNA
Source: RNAcentral
UUCUGUCUUGCUCCGUUUCCUAUGGGAACAUGGUGGAGUAACGCUGAGAUACUCUGGCUGAACCUGUGCAUUAAAGGUUCAUAACAUCCGGUAACACCUGAUAAUCCCGCAACGGUUUCGUGCUCUGCUGAUCAAGGGGGGGACCAUUUGGCCUUCUGUCAUCCUAUGAGUCGGACCCCCGUUAUAUUAUUGGUAUGGUGAAGGCCUACCCCGGCGACAAUAUGAUACUGGUCUGACCUGAUGAUCUGAUCCGCUGCAACUGAACUGAGACCCAGACUCCUCUCCUAGGCAACGCUGCGGAAUUUUAUCUUCCGCAAUGGAGCAUGACCUGACAGAGCCGCGUGAGUGAUGUGAGCUUUGUUUUCGGAUCGCUCUGUCUGUUGAAAGAAAUGAAUUGUGGCUAAAAUCCCUGAUCCUUGCUUGACCCCCUCUGAGAAGAACCGGCUAACUAACUACGUGCCACCGCCGUAAUACAUACGGGUGGUGGCGUUGUUCGUCAAUUAUUUAUUGGGCGUCGCGUGAGCGCAGGUUUGUUCCUUCUGAUGAUGUG